UACAGAGGUCUCAAGCGUUGUUCGGAUUCAUUGGGCGUAAAGGGUGCGUAGGUGGGUUGGUAAGUCAGUGGUGAAAUCUCCAGGCUUAACUUGGAAACUGCCAUUGAUACUAUCAAUCUUGAAUAUCGUGGAGGUCAGCGGAAUAUGUCAUGUAGCGGUGAAAUGCUUAGAUAUGACAUAGAACACCAAUUGCGAAGGCAGCUGGCUACACGAAUAUUGACACUGAUGCACGAAAGCGUGGGGAUCAAACAGG
RNAcentral lists this ribosomal RNA (253 nucleotides) under uncultured bacterium. RNAcentral's name for it is "partial 16S ribosomal RNA". It matches the Rfam family "Bacterial small subunit ribosomal RNA", at positions 524 to 776 of the family's 1533-position model. The record is from RNAcentral.